RNAcentral lists this small RNA (27 nucleotides) under Bombyx mori (domestic silkworm). RNAcentral's name for it is "ovarian small RNA-18018". Lineage: Eukaryota; Metazoa; Arthropoda; Insecta; Lepidoptera; Bombycidae. The record is from RNAcentral.
UAAAACAAAUAAUAGACGGUGACAUAA